AGUUGAGACCCUAGCAAAUUACACAGAUGGGUUGAAAGUAAAAAGAUGAAAAAGAUAAACCCUGCAAACACUAUCCAAAAGAAAACAGUUGUGCUUUAUUAAUAUAAAACAAAGUAGACUCUAAGACAAGAAAUAUUACAAGAGAUAUUAUACCUUAUUAAGAGGGCUAACAAUCGUAUACAUUAAAAAAUUAACAUGUACCUAAUAAUACAGGUUCAAAAUAUGUAAAGGAGAACUUGACAGAACUAAAAACAGGGAUAACAUUCCAUUUACAUAGUUAGAGAUUUUAACAACUUCUCUGAGUAACUGAUAGCAAAAGCAUACAAAAACAUCAGUAAGGCUGGGUGCAGUGGCUCACACCUGUAAUCCCAGCACUUUGGGAGGCUGAGGCAGGCAGAUCACGAGGUCAGGAGCUUCCACUAUGAUUGUAAAUUUCCUGUGGCCUCCCCAGCCAUGCUUCCUGUACACGGUGUGGAACCAUGAGCCAAUUAAACCUCUUUUCUUUAUAAAUUAUCCGGUCUCGGGUAGUUCUUUAUAGCAAUGCAAGAACAGACUAAUACAUACACACAGAACAUUUAUCCAAGUAGACCAUGUUUUGGGCCACAAACAAGUCUUCACAAAUUUCAAGGGAUUGAAAUCAAACAGGACAUGUUCUCUAAACAUUGUGGGAUAGAAAAAUAAACUCAAAAGAAAGGAGAGGAAAGAAAAUAAUAAGAAAAAAGCAA
This 725-nucleotide long non-coding RNA is filed under the name Homo sapiens (human). Its description in RNAcentral is "HSALNT0163837". Lineage: Eukaryota; Metazoa; Chordata; Mammalia; Primates; Hominidae. The record is from RNAcentral.